This 1501-nucleotide long non-coding RNA is filed under the name Homo sapiens (human). Its description in RNAcentral is "HSALNT0081385". Lineage: Eukaryota; Metazoa; Chordata; Mammalia; Primates; Hominidae. The record is from RNAcentral.
ACAACACAGCGGAACAUAUCCAAGGGACAACAGUUUACCUGCCUCCCAGAAGGAUGCUGAGUAGCCAUGUCAACUCUCUCAACCAACAACAGUCAAUGUAGCUCAAAGUGCAGGGUGGAUGUGAGAUGAGACAUUUGAGAGAGAGUGAGCAAACCCUGCUGGAAUAAAGAUAACCUGGCCUCAUAUUAACAUCAAAUGUCUAGAAUUCCAAAAACAGAAGAUCACACAAACUAUGCUAACUCCGAGUGGAAUUUCAAGACAUUAAUGUAAGAGAGGGUGACCAAACCAUGCUGGAGUAAAGAUAACCUGUCCAGUAUUAUCCCAACGGACUGCUUGACAAAUCAUGAUUUGCCAAACUUAAUUCAGGGGAGGGUUAGUCUCACACAAGCUGCCUUGUUAUAGAGGACAUUGGAAACCACUGGAUUAUAUGAAGAAAUUAAGGACUAGAAUCACUGGUGCAAGAUCACACUGGGGAAAAGUGACAGAACCAAAUUUCAAACUCCAGUCUUUCUGCUUCUAGAGAUUGAACUACUAACAUCUGCAUUAUAUAAAAUUAAGUCUCUCAAGGUAGUUUGUGAAACGUAACAUACAAAUAAGUGAUUAAAAUUUUUGGUGAUACCCUCUUGUUCCUCUUUCUUCAACACCCUAGAUUUGAGAUAUUCUUGUUUUAGAGUAUGGGGGUCAGAGUUGUGGGGGACAAUAGACAUCUAUUGAACCUCUCUAAACAUUUUUCUUGAACACAAAUAACUAGAAGCAAUAAGGGAAAGCUAAAUAAUAUCUCCCAUAAAAAAAUCUAUUACUACACACCACUGGAUUUAAUGCUUGCUCUAAAAAAUUAUUGAUAUGCUCAAUAUCUUCCUUUUAAUUUACCAAGCAGCUUCCAGAGAAUUUAGGUGAGGUAGAUAAUAAAAGAGAUAAUAAGUGGCACAUGAAAGGUGAUGAAGUUUAAAUUUAAGAACAUAUUUUGAAAAUCCUGCUAAUAAAUGUUGACUAUUUCCAGGCUCUUUAUUCAUCUUGUAGUACAGCAACAAGAUGGCAGCAUUACCAGCAAUUCAAAAUAGAUACAAAUUUAAAAUGAUGUUAUUUGAUAUAUAGCCAUGAAGAAGGAUCUUUGUUCCAUUUUAUUAUCUGUUUCCUAUGGUUAAUAACCUUAAAUAUUGCCUUGAUUCUAUCCACUCUGUUCUUGAUGUAUAAUUUCCAAACUCAAAGCUAGAUUGAGGCAUACGAUUCUCACUCUUACAUACGUUUUUCUUUCUGAAAAAUGUUUUUUAUUGUGAAAACAUAUUUUUCCUGAUCCUUGUUUAAAACCAUGACACAAAUUAAUCAAUCUACCUCCACACCAUCUGCGGCCCCCUAAAAAGAAGCAUAACUUUUCAUCAAAGAUUAGCACAUUACUCAUCCAACUAGAUUAUAGAAAUGAUAAAAACCCAUGUCAGCAGGCUCUUAGGGUGUUCAGUGGUUACGUUAGAGAAGUUGUAAAAUAAUACAAUUAUUGGAUGAU